This 466-nucleotide ribosomal RNA is filed under the name uncultured bacterium. RNAcentral's name for it is "bacterial SSU rRNA". It matches the Rfam family "Bacterial small subunit ribosomal RNA", at positions 917 to 1382 of the family's 1533-position model. The record is from RNAcentral.
GGACCCGCACAAGCAGCGGAGCAUGUGGUUUAAUUCGAAGCAACGCGAAGAACCUUACCAGGGCUUGACAUGCCCCUGACCGGUGUAGAGAUACACCUUUACCUUCGGGUACAGGGGACACAGGUGGUGCAUGGUUGUCGUCAGCUCGUGUCGUGAGAUGUUGGGUUAAGUCCCGUAACGAGCGCAACCCCUGUUUUUAGUUGCCAUCAUUAAGUUGGGCACUCUAAAGAGACUGCCGAUGAUAAAUCGGAGGAAGGUGGGGAUGACGUCAAAUCAUCAUGCCCUUUAUGUCCUGGGCUACACACGUGCUACAAUGGUCGAUACAACGAGGAGCAACACAGCGAUGUGAAGCAAAUCUCUUAAAGUCGAUCUCAGUUCGGAUUGCAGGCUGCAACUCGCCUGCAUGAAGCCGGAGUUGCUAGUAAUCGCGAAUCAGAAUGUCGCGGUGAAUGCGUUCCCGGGUCUU